Long non-coding RNA from Calidris pugnax (ruff), 941 nucleotides. RefSeq lists it as uncharacterized. The record is from RefSeq and is a predicted model, not a curated record. NCBI's taxonomy places the organism in Eukaryota, Metazoa, Chordata, Aves, Charadriiformes, Scolopacidae. The transcript has 3 exons.
GUUCAAAAGCAAGCAGAAAUGGGACUUGUCAACCUUUGCAAACAUAGGACAGGCCUGAAACAUCCCACCCUCCUUCCUUUCAGCAGGAACCAGAGCAGCAACACAGUCCUUGGUGGAGGCAGGAGGGAAGGAUUUCCCCUUUGUGCUAACCUCUCCUGUGCAGAUUGGAUAUCCCUCCAUCCCAUCUGUUGUCCUCCUGAGGUUCUUCAUCCCUUGAAGUCAGAAGAAGUUGCCAAAAGUGAAGGAAAGCCAUCAAAAGACCCCUCCAGCCACAGCACAGGUGCCAGUGCGAAGUCUGAUUUCCAUUGCUGAAGUCAGUGUGAGUUUUGCUCAUACCUUCAACCAUCAGAAGUCCAGAUCCAAGGAAAAGAAAAAAGGUACCAGAACCCAGCAGGAUUCAAUUUUCAGUCCCCGGAUUUCAAUUUGACAACAACAAUCCAUAGGAAAAAUGCAAAUAUGAUCUUUCCUGCAGACAGAAAUGAGAGAGGGCGUUGAGAGCUCUCGUGUUGUUUGAUCACUUUAAAGCCUUUCCUGCAGAAAGUGAAUUGGUGAAAUUCUGCUUGAAAUGUGCUGGCUGCAUUUACAGGCAAAAGGAGAUGAGAUGAGAUGAGUAAACCUUCCUCAGCUUGGAAUAGCCUCCCCCAGACCUUCACGGUUAUCCACUUAAAUACAAGGACGAGAUUUCUUUUCUGGCUCAUCUGUGAAUUCACCCUGUGUACUUGUUUAGUGAUCCACUUCACCGUGGAAAAAAGAAUCAAAGAGGUUUCAGCUCUUUCCCCCACCCCAGCCUUUUCUGUCUUGUAAUGUUAAUGAGUGAUAAUGCUUCAUGAUUUUUUUCACAGGCUAUUGCUGCUGAAAAUUGCUUUGGUGCAUUGGGACUCUUAUUAACUGAGUAUAUCAAGAGCUUUCUGCAAAGCAGAGGAAUAAAGACCAAGGAAGUG